AUUGCCCUCGAAUAAUUGAUUGGAAAUUCACUUUCUCAUUCGGUUCAGACAGGGGCAUAUACAUAUCUAAAUCCUUAUAUAUAUAUAUAUAUAUAUAUAUAUAUAUAUGAAAAGGAUGCUAGUUUCUGUAGAUCCUUUCUUAGAUGGAUUCAUAUAGCU
Non-coding RNA from Triticum aestivum (bread wheat), 159 nucleotides. The record is from Rfam. Lineage: Eukaryota; Viridiplantae; Streptophyta; Magnoliopsida; Poales; Poaceae.